CCCAUCAGAGUUUCGAGCGAGUUUCACUACUCAUCAACAUUGCCCCUUGGAUGACGAGUGAGGUAAAGAGUGUGAGCUUGCUCCUCCUUCUCUUUCACCUUUUUUUCCUGACAGGACUUGUUUGUGAGUGGAUGAUCUACAUGCCACCGACUAAAAGGAAGAUCGACCGACAUGACAAAUUGGAUUGGAAGAUCCAAGAG
This 200-nucleotide long non-coding RNA is filed under the name Elaeis guineensis (African oil palm). RNAcentral describes it as "long non-coding RNA (EGUI_LNC061120)". The record is from RNAcentral. Lineage: Eukaryota; Viridiplantae; Streptophyta; Magnoliopsida; Arecales; Arecaceae.